Long non-coding RNA from Serinus canaria (Common canary), 708 nucleotides. RefSeq lists it as uncharacterized. The record is from RefSeq and is a predicted model, not a curated record. The transcript is spliced from 2 exons. NCBI's taxonomy places the organism in Eukaryota, Metazoa, Chordata, Aves, Passeriformes, Fringillidae.
GGGAGGAGGCGGCGGCGGCGGCGGCGCGCACGGCCGCGCUGGGGGCGGCUCGGUGAGGAGGAGGAGGAGGGCCGGGCCCCUCAGUGAGGAGAGAUGAUGAAGGAGCUCCAGCCCUGUCCCACUUCCACAUGACAAAAGAAGAGGAAAACAGCUGUCUUGUGAGCUCUGCCGGGGCCAGGAACGCUGGUGGGACUCCUGCCUGCAAACCGAUCGCUCCCACGGGACUGACUCAUGCCGGAGACGGGCACCGUUAUUAUGGGAUUCCUGCGGAAUUGACUUCAAACCGAGGAAAAAGAGCAAAGCCGUUCCCAGAGCUCAGAAAUCUGGGGAGCACAGUGGGGAGAGAGCGCACGGGGACUGGCCUGGGGGCUAUGGAAUUCCGGGAAAGCGAGCGGAGGUGGUGGCCUCUGUCCCACCUGGUCGAAGGGAUUUCUUCCCCCCUUUCCAUAACCGCACUGUGGAAUGAUUCCCGUUUCCAAAGAGCUGCUGAGGGUUGAGAGAAGACAAACACAGCAGCCCAAGCAAUGCGCUCGGUGUCCUCUGCUUCCCCGGGAGCGGGUUCGGGGGUCCCGGGCUGCCGGGGGGGAUGAGCCGGGCUGUGCUGGCAGCUCUGGGAUACCCCGAGCCCAGAGGAAGGGAGGCAAAAGCAAAUAGAUGCUGGCGCGUCGCUGGCUUUAAUAAACAGCUCUUUGUUAGGGCUGGGUUUAA